AUUAAAGCCCUCUUCGGAGGGUGCAUAAAGUGGCGCACGGGUGAGUAACACGUAAGUAAUCUACCUUCGAGUGGGGAAUAACGUUCGGAAACGAACGCUAAUACCGCAUAAUGCAGCGGCAUCUAUGAUGACAGUUGUUAAAGAUUUAUCGCUUGAAGAGGAGCUUGCGGCAGAUUAGCUAGUUGGUAAGGUAACGGCUUACCAAGGCGACGAUCUGUAUCCGGUCUAAGAGGACGGUCGGACACACUGACACUGAAUAACGGGUCAGACUCCUACGGGAGGCAGCAGUCGGGAAUUUUGGGCAAUGGGCGAAAGCCUGACCCAGCAACGCCGCGUGAAGGAUGAAGUUUUUCGGAAUGUAAACUUCGUAAGAAUAGGAAGAAUAAAUGACGGUACUAUUUGUAAGGUCCGGCUAACUACGUGCCAGCAGCCGCGGUAAUACGUAGGGACCAAGCGUUGUUCGGAUUUACUGGGCGUAAAGGGCGCGUAGGCGGCAAUUCAAGUCAGCUGUGAAAUCUCCGGGCUUAACUCGGAACGGUCAGCUGAUACUGCUUUGCUAGAGUGCAGAAGGGGCAAUCGGAAUUCUUGGUGUAGCGGUGAAAUGCGUAGAUAUCAAGAGGAACACCUGAGGUGAAGACGGGUUGCUGGGCUGACACUGACGCUGAGGCGCGAAAGCUAGGGUAGCAAACGGGAUUAGAUACCCCGGUAGUCCUAGCCCUAAACGAUGAAUACUUGGUGUCUGGAGUUUUUAUCCUCCGGGUGCCGUCGCUAACGUUUUAAGUAUUCCGCCUGGGGAGUACGCACGCAAGUGUGAAACUC
Molecule: ribosomal RNA, 819 nt
Filed under: uncultured Bacillota bacterium
Lineage: Bacteria; Bacillati; Bacillota
Description: bacterial SSU rRNA
Rfam family: Bacterial small subunit ribosomal RNA
Source: RNAcentral